RNAcentral lists this ribosomal RNA (545 nucleotides) under uncultured Gigasporaceae. RNAcentral's name for it is "SSU rRNA". It matches the Rfam family "Eukaryotic small subunit ribosomal RNA", at positions 548 to 1098 of the family's 1831-position model. The record is from RNAcentral. Lineage: Eukaryota; Fungi; Glomeromycota; Glomeromycetes; Diversisporales; Gigasporaceae.
UUGGAGGGCAAGUCUGGUGCCAGCAGCCGCGGUAAUUCCAGCUCCAAUAGCGUAUAUUAAAGUUGUUGCAGUUAAAAAGCUCGUAGUUGAAUUUCGGGGUUCUACCGUUGGUCAGGCUAUUGUCUGUACUGGCGUGUAGAAUUUCUACCUUCUGGGGAACUAUCAUGUUAUUAAUUUAGCGUGGUAGGAAACCAGGACCUUUACCUUGAAAAAAUUAGAGUGUUCAAAGCAGGCUUAUGUCUGAAUACAUUAGCAUGGAAUAAUAAAAUAGGACGGUGGUCCUGUUUUGUUGGUUUCUGAAUCACCGUAAUGAUUAAUAGGGAUAGUUGGGGGCAUUAGUAUUCAAUUGUCAGAGGUGAAAUUCUUGGAUUUAUCGAAGACUAACUACUGCGAAAGCAUUUGCCAAGGAUGUUUUCAUUAAUCAAGAACGAAAGUCAGGGGAUCGAAGACGAUCAAAUACCGUCGUAGUCUUAACCACAAACUAUGCCGACUAGGGAUCGGACGAUGUUAACUUUUCUUGACUCGUUCGGCACCUUACGGGAAAC